UUUAUUCUUACUCUUGGGUCUCUUUUAUUGGUUGCUAGUGCUAGCUUUAGAACCCAUAUCCUUUGCCAUAGCCCUCUUGUUCUGAUUACCAUCUUCCCUUUUGUCAGUUUGCUGCUUGGCUGUCUCAGAUUCUGGUGUUGUAUUUUCCUUACUUUGUUGUUUUGUCUGUUGGUCCCCUAUUUUGUUUUGCUGAUUUAUAGGGGUAGCAGAGGCUCUAAGGUGUAAACUAUGGUCAGUGUGUAAAUCCUCAUGCAGAACAUGAGUCAAAUUCCCCCCUUUGGACACCCCUUCCUAUAGGUUAGUAUAGUUCUCCUGACAUCCCCCUUUCAUCCCUUCUUCAACUUCCACAUUAUCAGAUAAAAUAGACAAAUAGUUUUGCUGAUUUAUAGGGGUAGCAGAGGCUCUAAGGUGUAAACUAUGGUCAGUGUGUAAAUCCUCAUGCAGAACAUGAGUCAAAU
This 458-nucleotide long non-coding RNA is filed under the name Solanum tuberosum (potato). RNAcentral describes it as "long non-coding RNA (STUB_LNC000113)". Lineage: Eukaryota; Viridiplantae; Streptophyta; Magnoliopsida; Solanales; Solanaceae. The record is from RNAcentral.